Non-coding RNA from Nicotiana tabacum (common tobacco), 2367 nucleotides. NCBI's taxonomy places the organism in Eukaryota, Viridiplantae, Streptophyta, Magnoliopsida, Solanales, Solanaceae. The record is from RefSeq and is a predicted model, not a curated record.
GUCUCUACACCAUGAAUAACUUCUUCAAAAGCUCUAAAUUGGCUCACAAGUUCUUUAAUGGCUUCAACCGAGUCCAACUCAAGAAAACUCAGAGUGUUCGCCACCUGUCCCAACUUACUGGAAAUAUUGAAACCGAAUUACGUAAAAUUUCAGAAAAUUAUGUUCCAUUGACACCCAUAAGUUUUUUGGAGAGAGCAGUAGAUGUUUUUAGAGAUAGAACUUCAGUUGUGUUUGGUUCUUCUGUGAAGUACACUUGGGAAAAUACACAUUCUAGGUGUCUAAAACUUGCUUCAGCUUUGGUUCAGUUAGGAAUUUCUCGUGGAGAUGUGGUAGCAACUCUGGCUCCCAACGUACCAGCGAUGCAGGAAUUGCAUUUUGCAGUACUAAUGGCUGGAGCAGUUAUUUGUACAUUAAAUACACGCCUUGAUUCAGCAAUGAUAGCUGACUUACUAAAUCAUUCAGAAGCCAAAAUCAUAUUCGUUGAUCAACAUUUGGUCCAAAUUUCUCAACAAGCAAUCAGUCUUCUUUCAAAAGACAAAACAAUUAAACCACCAAUGCUUGUUCUUAUUCCUGAAUCCGAGAAUCCCUCGCCUCCUAUACCUGAGACAUUGUCGUCUAAUAACAUUCAUGAAUACGAAAAUCUUUUGGCAAGUGGGAGUAGCAAUUUUACAAUAAAAUGGCCAAAAACUGAAUUUGAUCCAAUCAGUAUAAAUUAUACUUCCGGCACAACUUCAGGAUCCAAGGGAGUUGUGUACAAUCACAGAGGCGCGUAUCUCAACACUAUUGCUAUGUUUCUAGUUUGUGGAAUGGGUCCGAUGCCUACAUACCUUUGGACAGUUCCCAUGUUUCACUGCAAUGGAUGGUGUUUGACUUGGGGAAUGGCUGCAAUUGGUGGCACAAAUGUUUGCCUUAGGCAUAUCUCUGCUAAAAAUAUAUUUGAAAGUAUUUCUCUCUACAAAGUCACACAUAUGGGCGCAGUACCAACCGUGACAGGAAGCCGCUUCCACAUAAGGUGAAAAUAUUAACAGGUGGAUCACCACCGCCUCCGCAGAUCUUUUCCAAAAUGGAGGAGCUCGGGUUCGGAGUAACUCAUGCAUAUGGAAUAACAGAAACUCAUGGUGUAGCAACAUCUUGCUUGUGGAAGCCUGAGUGGGAUUCUUUGCCUCUUGAGAAACAACUCGCGCUUAAAGCAAGACAAGGGGUGCGACAUCUUUGUAUUGAAGAUGUUGACGUUAGACACUGUGAGACAAUGGAAAAAGUGCCACUUGAUGGAAAGACUAUUGGCGAAGUUAUGUUAAGAGGAAACACCGUAAUGAGUGAAUAUUUGAAAGAUGUUAAAGCAACCGAAGAAGCUUUUAGAGGCGGAUGGUUUCACAGUGGUGAUCUUGCUGUAAAACAUCAAGAUGGUUACAUAGAAAUUAAGGACAGGUUAAAAGACAAAAUAAUUUCAGGAGGUGAAAACAUAAGCUCGUUCGAGGUCGAAAGAGUUUUGUAUUGACAUCCAGCAGUAGUUGAAGCAGCAGUAGUAGCAAGACCAGAUAAUCACUGGGGACAAACACCUUGUGCUUUCGUUAAACUGAAGGAAGGAUUCGAUGAAAUAAUUACUUCGCAGGAAAUAAUCAAAUUCUGUAGGAAUCAUUUGCCUCAUUACAUGGCGCCUGCGACAGUGAUUUUUGAAAAUUUACCAAAAACUUCAAUUGGAAAGGUACAGAAAUUCAUCUUGAGGGAGAAAGCAAAAGCUUUGGGCAGUCUUCACUAAACCAAAACAAGAAAAGUCUUAAGUUAUAUUAAUUGCUUCGAAGUAAAUAGAUGUUGUACUUUGAAAUCCUACAACUGGUAGCACUUGCUGUUGCAUCACAUAUUAUGCUUCAAAAGCAUUGAAAAUUAUUCACUUUGCGAGAAAUAUUGGUCAUUAUGGAUGCAUACGGUCAAAUCCGGGUUUGCCUUUCGUAUAAUUAGUCGAGAUUCGAACGUGAUGGACCGUGGGUCAUCAUUGUAACGACGAGAUAAGAAGUAAAGCCCGGUUAUCGAGCUCAAGAUACCGAGCUCGAUUCGAUAUCGAGCUAUGGCAUGACGUAGUACUAUCGAAUUCAAGAGUCAAAGGCCGACUAAUACCGAGCUCGAGUCAAUAUUGAGCUCGGGUCAAUAUCGAACUCAAGAUCCAGAGAUCGACCAAUACCGAGACCGACCAAGGUCGAGCUAAGGGACAAAGAGCCGUUGUAGCCGCACCAGGAAGAGAAUCUCGGCGGGAAUUAAGAAUCUCCACUAUAUAUUUUUUAUUAUAUCCAAAGCAUGAUUUUUUCACUAUAUAUAGGGUGGGUAUCAUUUUUGUAAGGAGAGGCAUUCGACAUCCAGAGAAGAAAACAU